This 147-nucleotide small nuclear RNA is filed under the name Schistosoma japonicum. It matches the Rfam family "U4 spliceosomal RNA". Rfam says of the family: U4 small nuclear RNA (U4 snRNA) is a component of the major U2-dependent spliceosome. The structure of U4 snRNA from yeast and human has been reported. The record is from RNAcentral. Lineage: Eukaryota; Metazoa; Platyhelminthes; Trematoda; Strigeidida; Schistosomatidae.
AGCUGCGGGCGGAGUGGCGGUACCGUAGCCAAUGAAGUUUACCUGAGGCGCGGUUAUUGCUAGUUGAAAACUGACUAAAACAGUCAGUAGUAAUCCACAGAAAGUUUAUGCAGUCGAAAAUAAUAAUAAUUUGUGCACAAAAAUUCG